This 265-nucleotide ribosomal RNA is filed under the name uncultured Staphylococcus sp. Its description in RNAcentral is "partial 16S ribosomal RNA". It matches the Rfam family "Bacterial small subunit ribosomal RNA", at positions 96 to 355 of the family's 1533-position model. Lineage: Bacteria; Bacillati; Bacillota; Bacilli; Caryophanales; Staphylococcaceae. The record is from RNAcentral.
CGGCGGACGGGUGAGUAACACGUGGGUAACUACCUAUAAGACUGGGACAACUUCGGGAAACCGGAGCUAAUACCGGAUAAGAUAUCGAACCGCAUGGUUCGAUAGUGAAAGAUGGUUUUGCUAUCACUUAUAGAUGGACCCGCGCCGUAUUAGCUAGUUGGUGAGGUAACGGCUCACCAAGGCAACGAUACGUAGCCGACCUGAGAGGGUGAUCGGCCACACUGGAACUGAGACACGGUCCAGACUCCUACGGGAGGCAGCAGCC